UACAGAGGUCCCAAGCGUUGUUCGGAUUCACUGGGCGUAAAGGGUGCGUAGGCGGCCGGGUAAGUCUGAUGUGAAAUCCCGCAGCUUAACUGCGGAACUGCAUCGGAUACUCUCCGGCUAGAGGAAUGGAGGGGAGACUGGAAGUCUCGGUGUAGCAGUGAAAUGCGUAGAUAUGGGGAGGAACACCGGUGGCGAAGGCGGCCAUCUGGACGGUAACUGACGCUGAGACGCGAAAGCGUGGGUAGCAAACAGG
RNAcentral lists this ribosomal RNA (253 nucleotides) under uncultured bacterium. RNAcentral describes it as "partial 16S ribosomal RNA". It matches the Rfam family "Bacterial small subunit ribosomal RNA", at positions 524 to 776 of the family's 1533-position model. The record is from RNAcentral.